RNAcentral lists this ribosomal RNA (671 nucleotides) under Pseudomonas aeruginosa. RNAcentral describes it as "partial 23S ribosomal RNA". It matches the Rfam family "Bacterial large subunit ribosomal RNA", at positions 688 to 1357 of the family's 2925-position model. The record is from RNAcentral. Lineage: Bacteria; Pseudomonadati; Pseudomonadota; Gammaproteobacteria; Pseudomonadales; Pseudomonadaceae.
UAGGGCGAAAUAGUACGUGGUCGUAGACCCGAAACCAGGUGAUCUACCCAUGUCCAGGAUGAAGGUGAGGUAACACUUACUGGAGGUCCGAACCCACGCACGUUGAAAAGUGCGGGGAUGAGGUGUGGGUAGCGGAGAAAUUCCAAUCGAACUUGGAGAUAGCUGGUUCUCUCCGAAAUAGCUUUAGGGCUAGCCUCGUGAUUAAGAAUACUGGAGGUAGAGCACUGUUUGGACUAGGGGGGCAUCUCGCUUUACCGAAUUCAGACAAACUCCGAAUGCCAGAUAUUUAUACACGGGAGUCAGACUGCGAGUGAUAAGAUCCGUAGUCAAAAGGGAAACAGCCCAGACCACCAGCUAAGGUCCCAAAGUAAUCGUUAAGUGGAAAAGGAUGUGGCGUUGCUUAGACAACCAGGAUGUUGGCUUAGAAGCAGCCAUCAUUUAAAGAGUGCGUAAUAGCUCACUGGUCGAGUGACGCUGCGCCGAAAAUGUAUCGGGGCUAAACAUUCACCGAAGCUGUGGAUGUACAUCGUAUGAUGUACGUGGUAGGAGAGCGUUCUAAUAGCGUUGAAGUCAGAUCGUAAGGACUGGUGGAGCGAUUAGAAGUGAGAAUGCCGGUAUGAGUAGCGAAACAUGGGUGAGAAUCCCAUGCACCGUAUGACUAAGGUUUCCUG